AUGGUGGGCGUGGUGGACGCCAGGGGCGCCAGGGGGAGGGCCAGCGUGUACUACCGCUACAUGGCUCCCUCACCACCCCGCCAUGGACCCAAGGGGUCAUCUGGACCAUCGUCAAGCGGGUUCUCUCUGGCUCAACAGGUUCGUACCGUGUCGUGGCAUCAGCUGGAGCUUCUCCAAGAGGCCGUCCACGACGAAAUGGAGAAGAACGCAAGGCCGCGUCAGGAGCAUGGUGCUGUCUCCCUGAUGAUCAUGCAAGGACUUGAUAAUCAGCUUGCUGCUGCCUGCUUGAAGAAGCAUGCAAGGAAUAGUUUCGCCGUGAUCGAUUUUCUCUGUUUGCAACCAUUGGUAGAGCUCAAGAAAGGAUAA
RNAcentral lists this ribosomal RNA (366 nucleotides) under Triticum aestivum (bread wheat). Its description in RNAcentral is "partial small subunit ribosomal RNA". The record is from RNAcentral. Lineage: Eukaryota; Viridiplantae; Streptophyta; Magnoliopsida; Poales; Poaceae.